AGAAUCAACGCUGGCGGCGUGCCUCAGACAUGCAAGUCGAACGAUUAAAGCUCUCUUCGGAGAGUGUAUAGAGUGGCGCACGGGUGAGUAACACGUAAGUAAUCUACCCUCGAGUGGGGAAUAACGUCCGGAAACGGACGCUAAUACCGCAUAAUGCAGCGGCACCGCAAGGUGACAGUUGUUAAAGAUUUUAUCGCUUGAGGAGGAGCUUGCGGCAGAUUAGCUAGUUGGUAAGGUAAUGGCUUACCAAGGCUACGAUCUGUAACCGGUCUAAGAGGACGGUCGGUCACACUGACACUGAAUAACGGGUCAGACUCCUACGGGAGGCAGCAGUCGGGAAUUUUGGGCAGUGGGCGAAAGCCUGACCCAGCAACGCCGCGUGAAGGAUGAAGUAUUUCGGUAUGUAAACUUCGAAAGAAUGGGAAGAAUCAAUGACGGUACCAUUUAUAAGGUCUGGCUAACUAUGUGCCAGCAGCCGCGGUAAUACGUAGGGACCAAGCGUUGUUCGGAUUUACUGGGCGUAAAGGGCGCGUAGGCGGCUUGUCAAGUCACUUGUGAAAUCUCUGGGCUUAACCCAGAACGGCCAAGUGAAACUGACAUGCUAGAGUGCAGAAGGGGCAAUCGGAAUUCUUGGUGUAGCGGUGAAAUGCGUAGAUAUCAAGAGGAACACCUGAGGUGAAGACGGGUUGCUGGGCUGACACUGACGCUGAGGCGCGAAAGCCAGGGGAGCAAACGGGAUUAGAUACCCCGGUAGUCCUGGCCCUAAACGAUGAAUACUUGGUGUCUGGAGUAAUUUGUGCUCCGGGUGCCGUCGCUAACGUUUUUAGUAUCCGC
RNAcentral lists this ribosomal RNA (834 nucleotides) under uncultured bacterium. RNAcentral's name for it is "bacterial SSU rRNA". It matches the Rfam family "Bacterial small subunit ribosomal RNA", at positions 26 to 872 of the family's 1533-position model. The record is from RNAcentral.